CUCCUCCUCAGACGAUGAUUGCUCAUUUGUCGUCGUCGAUAGCUCCUCCUCAGUCGUCUAUGUAUCACUCCUUUGUUGUCGUGGAUUGCUCGGCAUUUGCCUUUCUUCCGUCGUUGUCUAUCGUGACUUCAUUGGCCCCUCUUUCGCCAUCGACUAGCGUACUGGUUCAGCCGACGACAAACAAUUGUUGCGCAUGGCUUCUCUUGUGAACAGAAAAUGAAGACAAGAAGAGAAUGAAGGUAGGCAGGAAUGAGAGUGAAGAGAAAACAAGAGGGAGAAAGAGAAAGGCAAGAGUG
RNAcentral lists this long non-coding RNA (296 nucleotides) under Salvia miltiorrhiza (redroot sage). RNAcentral's name for it is "long non-coding RNA (SMIL_LNC011205)". The record is from RNAcentral. Lineage: Eukaryota; Viridiplantae; Streptophyta; Magnoliopsida; Lamiales; Lamiaceae.